Molecule: ribosomal RNA, 901 nt
Filed under: Staphylococcus aureus
Lineage: Bacteria; Bacillati; Bacillota; Bacilli; Caryophanales; Staphylococcaceae
Description: partial 23S ribosomal RNA
Rfam family: Bacterial large subunit ribosomal RNA
Source: RNAcentral
CGAAGCGUGCGAUUGGAUUGCACGUCUAAGCAGUAAGGCUGAGUAUUAGGCAAAUCCGGUACUCGUUAAGGCUGAGCUGUGAUGGGGAGAAGACAUUGUGUCUUCGAGUCGUUGAUUUCACACUGCCGAGAAAAGCCUCUAGAUAGAAAAUAGGUGCCCGUACCGCAAACCGACACAGGUAGUCAAGAUGAGAAUUCUAAGGUGAGCGAGCGAACUCUCGUUAAGGAACUCGGCAAAAUGACCCCGUAACUUCGGGAGAAGGGGUGCUCUUUAGGGUUAACGCCCAGAAGAGCCGCAGUGAAUAGGCCCAAGCGACUGUUUAUCAAAAACACAGGUCUCUGCUAAACCGUAAGGUGAUGUAUAGGGGCUGACGCCUGCCCGGUGCUGGAAGGUUAAGAGGAGUGGUUAGCUUCUGCGAAGCUACGAAUCGAAGCCCCAGUAAACGGCGGCCGUAACUAUAACGGUCCUAAGGUAGCGAAAUUCCUUGUCGGGUAAGUUCCGACCCGCACGAAAGGCGUAACGAUUUGGGCACUGUCUCAACGAGAGACUCGGUGAAAUCAUAGUACCUGUGAAGAUGCAGGUUACCCGCGACAGGACGGAAAGACCCCGUGGAGCUUUACUGUAGCCUGAUAUUGAAAUUCGGCACAGCUUGUACAGGAUAGGUAGGAGCCUUUGAAACGUGAGCGCUAGCUUACGUGGAGGCGCUGGUGGGAUACUACCCUAGCUGUGUUGGCUUUCUAACCCGCACCACUUAUCGUGGUGGGAGACAGUGUCAGGCGGGCAGUUUGACUGGGGCGGUCGCCUCCUAAAAGGUAACGGAGGCGCUCAAAGGUUCCCUCAGAAUGGUUGGAAAUCAUUCAUAGAGUGUAAAGGCAUAAGGGAGCUUGACUGCGAGACCUAC